GCCGAAGUGGCGGAACUGGCAGACGCGCUAGGUUCAGGGUCUAGUGGGAGCAAUCCUGUAGGGGUUCGAAUCCCCUCUUCGGCACCA
RNAcentral lists this transfer RNA (87 nucleotides) under Nitrospiraceae bacterium. RNAcentral's name for it is "tRNA-Leu". It matches the Rfam family "tRNA". From Rfam's summary of the family: Transfer RNA (tRNA) molecules are approximately 80 nucleotides in length. Their secondary structure includes four short double-helical elements and three loops (D, anti-codon, and T loops). The record is from RNAcentral. Lineage: Bacteria; Pseudomonadati; Nitrospirota; Nitrospiria; Nitrospirales; Nitrospiraceae. RNAcentral also lists the same sequence under 2 other names.